RNAcentral lists this long non-coding RNA (925 nucleotides) under Rhinopithecus bieti (black snub-nosed monkey). RNAcentral describes it as "lncRNA (ENSRBIG00000046205.1)". The record is from RNAcentral. Lineage: Eukaryota; Metazoa; Chordata; Mammalia; Primates; Cercopithecidae.
CCCCAGCCUUGACGGCCAUGCCCUGGCACUGUUACCCAUGGGUCCUCCUCCAGGCCCUGUGACGGACACACCCUGGCAUUGUCACCCGUGGGUCCUCCCCCCAUCCCCGUGAAGGCCACAGCCCGGCACUGUGUUUACCUGUGGGUCCCAGACCUGCACCUGCAGGAGAGAUUUUCUUCCUCUCUCUCACACUGAGGCCUCUGAUGGAGGAGGUCGAUGUCUGUGCCUUCAUUCUCCUGAGCCCCUGCCAUCUGACACCGUCGUCAUCUCUGCCUGGGCCUGGGUGACAAGCAAGACUCCAUAUCAAAAAUAAGAAAAGAAUUGAGGAGAAAUGUGAAUGAACAAAGUGGUCGAGAGAUGGGGGUGUGGAGAGGAGGCCCUGCCGCAGGACCCUGGACAUGUAGCCUGAAGGAUCUCCAAUGAUGGGGUGCUCGCUGGGAAUCGGGAUGUCCGGCAAGGACCACAGCUGACAUGCACGAGUCUGAUGGCCGGGUCUCGUGUCACUGGGUGAAUGCUGCAGAAUCAAGGCAGGGGCGUUGCUUGCUGUCCUGGAAGCUGAUUCGUCAGAGACUUUGUCUUUUCUUGAUUCUUCACUCCCAGUUCCCACGGCUCAACAUGUGUUUGCCUCCAUUCUUCUUUUGGAAGACCAGACUUCCCAGGGGUCUUGAUUCCUCAUUCUACGUGCUCAUAGUCAAGGACCUGCAGGUGCAUGAUGACACACACUUGUACCCUGAGCCUCUACAUCCAGGGCAACUCGCUCUGAGAGCACAGUACCUCCUUAGCCCACGUGCCUUCCACAGCCGGUGUGGCCUGCUGGGAUUCUUCAGGCAGGAGCACAGGUGCCUUCUGGAGAAGGCGCAAAAUGAGCAGGUGCUGACAUGAUCUCACAGGUUUACAAAGUUCUGGUUAAAUAAAUAGAUCUUCG